RNAcentral lists this ribosomal RNA (208 nucleotides) under Clostridia bacterium. RNAcentral's name for it is "partial 23S ribosomal RNA". It matches the Rfam family "Bacterial large subunit ribosomal RNA", at positions 2717 to 2925 of the family's 2925-position model. Lineage: Bacteria; Bacillati; Bacillota; Clostridia. The record is from RNAcentral.
CCAGUUGUUCCGCCAGGAGCACAGCUGGGUAGCUGCGUGCGGUUUUGAUAAACGCUGAAGGCAUCUAAGCGUGAAACAUGCUUCAAGAUUAGAUAUCCCAUCAUUUAUUGAGUAAGGUCACUUGUAGACUACAAGUUCGAUAGGUCGGAGGUGUAAGCACAGUAAUGUGUUCAGCUGACCGAUACUAAUAGACCGAGGGCUUGAACCU